AUACGUAGGGUGCGAGCGUUGUCCGGAAUUACUGGGCGUAAAGAGCUCGUAGGUGGUUUGUCGCGUCGUCUGUGAAAUUCCGGGGCUUGACUCCGGGCGUGCAGGCGAUACGGGCAUAACUUGAGUACUGUAGGGGAGACUGGAAUUCCUGGUGUAGCGGUGAAAUGCGCAGAUAUCAGGAGGAACACCGGUGGCGAAGGGGGGUCUCUGGGCAGUAACUGACGCUGAGGAGCGAAAGCAUGGGUAGCGAACAGGAUUAGAUACCCUGGUAGUCCAUGCCGUAAACGGUGGGCGCUAGGUGUAGGGGUCUUCCACGACUUCUGUGCCGUAGCUAACGCAUUAAGCGCCCCGCCUGGGGAGUACGGCCGCAAGGCUAAAACUCAAAUGAAUUGACGGGG
Molecule: ribosomal RNA, 398 nt
Filed under: uncultured bacterium
Lineage: Bacteria
Description: partial 16S ribosomal RNA
Rfam family: Bacterial small subunit ribosomal RNA
Source: RNAcentral